UUGGAGGGCAAAGUCUGGUGCCAGCAGCCGCGGUAAUUCCAGCUCCAAUAGCGUAUAUUAAAGUUGUUGCAGUUAAAAAGCUCGUAGUUGAAUUUCGGGGUCAAUAAGUUGGUCGUGCCAAUGGUAUGCACUGGCUUUAUUGAUUCCUACCUCUUGACGAACUGUGAUGCCAUUAAUUUGGUGUCGCAAGGAAUCAGGACUGUUACCUUGAAAAAAUUAGAGUGUUUAAAGCAGGCUUACGCUUGAAUACAUUAGCAUGGAAUAAUGAAAUAGGACGUUUGAACCUAUUUUGUUGGUUUCUAGGAUCGACGUAAUGAUUAAUAGGGAUAGUUGGGGGCAUUAGUAUUCAAUUGUCAGAGGUGAAAUUCUUGGAUUUAUUGAAGACUAACUACUGCGAAAGCAUUUGCCAAGGAUGUUUUCAUUAAUCAAGAACGAAAGUUAGGGGAUCGAAGACGAUCAGAUACCGUCGUAGUCUUAACCAUAAACUAUGCCGACUAGGGAUCGGAUGAUGUUAAUUUUUUAAUGACUCAUUCGGCGCCUUACGGGAAAC
Molecule: ribosomal RNA, 550 nt
Filed under: uncultured Glomus
Lineage: Eukaryota; Fungi; Glomeromycota; Glomeromycetes; Glomerales; Glomeraceae
Description: SSU rRNA
Rfam family: Eukaryotic small subunit ribosomal RNA
Source: RNAcentral